UUAACCAUAGAACUGCUUGGGAAACUGAUAAUCUAGAGUGAGGGAGAGGCAGAUGGAAUUGGUGGUGUAGGGGUAAAAUCCGUAGAGAUCACCAGGAAUACCCAUUGCGAAGGCGAUCUGCUGGAACUCAACUGACGCUAAUGCGUGAAAGCGUGGGGAGCAAACAGGAUUAGAUACCCUGGUAGUCCACGCCCUAAACGAUGUAUACUAGUUGUUGCUAAGCUAGUCUUGGCAGUAAUGCACCUAACGGAUUAAGUAUACCGCCUGGGGAGUACGGUCGCAAGAUUAAAACUCAAAGGAAUAGACGGGGACCCGCACAAGCGGUGGAGCAUGUGGUUUAAUUCGAAGAUACGCGAAGAACCUUACCCGGACUUGAUAUCUAACAAAUCAUCUAGAGAUAGAAGAGUGUCUGCUUGCAGAAAUGUUAAGACAGGUGCUGCACGGCUGUCGUCAGCUCGUGUCGUGAGAUGUUGGGUUAAGUCCCGCAACGAGCGCAACCCACGUCAUUAGUUGCUAACAGUUCGGCUGAGCACUCUAAUGAGACUGCCUUCGUAAGGAGGAGGAAGGUGUGGACGACGUCAAGUCAUCAUGGCCCUUAUGUCCGGGGCGACACACGUGCUACAAUGGCAUAUACAAUGAGAAGCAAUAUCGCGAGAUGGAGCAAAUCUAUAAAAUAUGUCCCAGUUCGGAUUGGAGUCUGCAACUCGACUCCAUGAAGCCGGAAUCGCUAGUAAUCGUAGAUCAGCCAUGCUACGGUGAAUACGUUCCCGGGUCUUGUACUCACCUCCCGUCACACCAUGGGAGUUGAUUUCACUCGAAGCCGGAAUACUAAAUUAGUU
Molecule: ribosomal RNA, 839 nt
Filed under: Campylobacter concisus
Lineage: Bacteria; Pseudomonadati; Campylobacterota; Epsilonproteobacteria; Campylobacterales; Campylobacteraceae
Description: bacterial SSU rRNA
Rfam family: Bacterial small subunit ribosomal RNA
Source: RNAcentral